RNAcentral lists this ribosomal RNA (841 nucleotides) under Cytospora viticola. RNAcentral describes it as "eukaryotic LSU rRNA". It matches the Rfam family "Eukaryotic large subunit ribosomal RNA", at positions 68 to 939 of the family's 3401-position model. The record is from RNAcentral. Lineage: Eukaryota; Fungi; Ascomycota; Sordariomycetes; Diaporthales; Cytosporaceae.
ACAGGGAUUGCCCUAGUAACGGCGAGUGAAGCGGCAACAGCUCAAAUUUGAAAGCUGGCUCCGGCCCGCAUUGUAAUUUGCAGAGGAUGCUUCUGGCGAGGUGCCUUCCGAGUUCCCUGGAACGGGACGCCAUAGAGGGUGAGAGCCCCGUAUGGAAGGACACCAGACCUGUGUGAAGCUCCUUCAACGAGUCGAGUAGUUUGGGAAUGCUGCUCUAAAUGGGAGGUAAAUCUCUUCUAAAGCUAAAUACCGGCCAGAGACCGAUAGCGCACAAGUAGAGUGAUCGAAAGAUGAAAAGCACCUUGAAAAGGGGGUUAAACAGUACGUGAAAUUGUUGAAAGGGAAGCGCUUGUGACCAGACUUGCGCCGGGCGGCUCAUCAGGGGUUCUCCCCUGUGCACUCCGCCCGGCUCAGGCCAGCAUCGGUUCUCGUGGGAGGAUAAGAACGGUGGGAACGUGGCCCCCCUCCGGGGGGGUGUUAUAGCCCACCGUACGAUACUCUCGUGGGGACCGAGGUUCGCGCUCCGCAAGGAUGCUGGCGUAAUGGUCAUCAGCGACCCGUCUUGAAACACGGACCAAGGAGUCGUCCAUUAGAGCGAGCGUUUGGGUGUAAAACCCGCACGCGUAAUGAAAGUGAACGCAGGUGAGAGCUUCGGCGCAUCAUCGACCGAUCCUGAUGUCUUCGGAUGGAUUUGAGUAAGAGUUUUAACGGACGGACCCGAAAGACAGUGAACUAUGCUUGUAUAGGGUGAAGCCAGAGGAAACUCUGGUGGAGGCUCGCAGCGGUUCUGACGUGCAAAUCGAUCGUCAAAUAUGAGCAUGGGGGCGAAAGACUAAUCGAA